This 1161-nucleotide long non-coding RNA is filed under the name Piliocolobus tephrosceles (Ugandan red Colobus). RNAcentral describes it as "lncRNA (ENSPTEG00000012236.1)". Lineage: Eukaryota; Metazoa; Chordata; Mammalia; Primates; Cercopithecidae. The record is from RNAcentral.
AUGGAUGCGUGGGUUAAAACGAAGUUGAUUGAGAAUAUUACAAAAAACCAUGAUAUAAAAAACAUAAACUUAUAUAUAACAAAUAUUGAUCAACAUAUUGCAAAAAUAAAAAAUGAAGGUGGAAGUAUUAUAGAUGAAGUAUUUUUAGCAUUUAAUGGAUCUAUUAGUCAUAUUUCUCUUUACGCUUAUUUAUAUGAUCAUAAUGUUAAUGUAGAUUUAAAUUGUUUGAAUUUCAUCAAUGAACAUAGUUAUAUAGAAGAAGAAAAGUUAAUACAAGAAAAUGAAAAAGAUGGAGGAGGUGAUAAAGUUGUAGAUAUUACAAAAUUUGAUUCAGACCUUAUAUUUUAUAUUGUAAAAGAAUAUAAAGAUAAUUUUGAGGAUAAUUAUAAUUUAACUAUUGAAGAUUUAGAAAAUAUUAUAUCAAAAUAUAAAGAAAAAGAAUAUCAAGAAUCAAUUAAAUUAUAUAAAGAAAAAUAUAAAGAUGGUGUAAAAGUAUAUAACACUUUUUUAGAUAUAAGUCAUUUUUUUUAUGAUGAAAAAAAAAUGAAAUUAAUAAAAAAACAAAAAAACGAAUCCAUCGAAAAUUAUAAUGAAUAUAUAAAUUCAAAUGUAGAUGUUGAAUUUUAUGAUUUAAAAUAUAAUUUACAAUGUAAAAAAACUAAAGGACAUCCAUCCGUUUUGUUUUGGUCAGAUGCUAUUAAUGAAAUACAAAUUAAAGAUAAAACGAUUAUCACUUCUGUUGAUGCAAUUAAAUUAACAAACCCUGGUCAUCAACAUAUCAUAGGAAUAUUGGGAUUAAAUAGGGAUGGUGAUUUAGUAAUACAAGGAAUAAGAAAUGAAAUUAUUUUGUUUAUUUAUGAAAAUUGUGUUAUUAAUUAUGGAAUAUAUUGUAUCGGUCAUGUAAUACUAGUACAAGGUCGGAUGAAAUUGGCUAAUAAAACUUUUUAUGCCUCAGAAAUAAUGCACCCUCCAAGGUUAUUUUAUUAUGCGUGUUUAUGUUUGCACCUGAACUUGCACCUGAGUUUGUACCUGAGCUUGUUCCUGAGUUUGUGUUUGAGUUUGUUCCUGAGUUUGUGUUUGAGCUUACAUAUAUGUGUGUCCGUGUCCGUGUUCGUUUUUGCGUAUUUGCUUAUCCCCGUUUACUUGUCCGUAUGUGUGUAA